UUAACACCAACUGCCUAACCAUUGCUUAACAACAUUAUUGGCCUGUGAAUUUAACAAGUUUAGAUAAGGUUCAUUAAUACUUGAAGUUCUUUUAUGAGUGACAAUCUGCCCCAAUGUGUUUAUCCCAGCUUGUGUUAUUACUUACUACAGACAGUGGGUAUAUGUUCGAGCCAAGACACGAGAGUAAUGCCCAGUGGUUCAUUACGGAGUAUCGCCAGAAGUAUUAUACGUAUCAAGGUUAUGUAAUAUAAUCUUAUUUGUGACUGGUACAUUUAUUUGAUGUCUUUGUUGUUAAUUCAAUAUGAAGUGUUGAAAUUCUCACGAUGUAUUUUUUUUCAUAUUACUGUAUUGAAUUUACUUUGUAUAACCCGAGUUGAGUGUUAUAUAAUUUUGUGUUUAUUUCAUUACUUUUUCAGUGCUGGUGACCGUAAUCGUGAACUAAGUAGAAAGUGUUUUAGCUCUCGGUCGACGUCAGUUUAUGACAAUUUAAUUUAUCAAUAUAACACGAGUUUAGUUUUAUAUUUGGUAUUAUUGUAUUUUUGUGUUGUUUCUAUUAGCUAAUAAUUUUAAUGCAUAGGGCGUGAGUUUCCAGCAGUAUAGACUUCCAGGCAUUGUCAGUAAGUGUACUAUAUUAUUUGAGAACUAAUACAUGUAUAAUAUCAGCAAUUGCAUUGAUUGGGUUGGAGACUCUUUAGUGAAAUGGACACCUUCAAAAGAAUACAAUCUUUGAAAAUGGAUUGUUGAAAUUACAUGUAAGGACGAUCAAUUGUGUGAGUACAGCACAGAGUAAUGGUUCACACAGUGUUGCACCAUUGUUACUACCAUUGUUUUUGAGUGUGUACAGUAAGUGUGUCCUGAUAAGUGACAAAAGAAUACAGUGAUACAUUUUCCUCAUGUAUUCACCUGUGAAGCCUUAAAGUAAAAGUUCUCACAUCCAGUAUUAUCACUAGUGGUGGUGAUGGAUAAUUUGAGCAGUAUUUCAGGUGUUUUUAUGUAUUUGAAGGCGUCCACUGUGUUGUGUUGUGUAGUUACAGUGAGUUGUGACCUCCAGGCAUGAUGGCCGUCACAAGGGGACAGUUCAGGGCAGCCACCAGUUGUCUCAUCAGGAGAACGGUCUGAUGGACAGGAAGGUGUAGGAGGGAAGAAGAGUAAGGAAUGCCUCUUGUACUAGUUAAUGAGAGACACCGGCAUCAGUGUUGUCGAGAUAUCUUCAAAGGGUUGUAGAGCUUUAAACUGGACCUUCUUGGUUGUUGAUGUGCCAUGGUGAAGUGCACGAUCUUGUUGUGUUGUACGUGGCUUUUGGUGAUUUUUAGAAGAAAGUGAGAGAAUUGAGAAUUGUUUUAAGUAUUUUGUAGAGGGAUUGUCAAGGAUGCAGUAAGGACAUAGAGAUUGUACGAUGGAUUGGCAUAAGUGUACAAUCAUCUGAAGGGUAUCUGUUACUGGAGUGAGUAAAGAUACCAGGUGUGAGAUCUCAAGUCCUGUUGUUGGUGUAUACUGUAGGUGUGGUGUUUGUGGCUUGUCAGUAGUACCGGGUAUGGAAGCUCGGCACUGAUACCGCUACAUGGUUAAUGCUAUAAGUAACAGACACUCCUUGGUUUGGUUGGGUUCCCAUAAGGACGGUUUCAUUUUGCGUAGGAUUCCUGGGAAUAUCUCCGCUCGUUCGGGCUCCCUCGAUGUUGCUCCAUCUCGUGAGUGUGACAUGACUCUUCGUAAUAGAGUAAAACAAAUCAUUCCUCCGGCUCGAUGGGGUCCGGUCAUCUAUGUCCUAGUUUGAGAAAUCUAUGUUAAAUCUCAGGGUGUUCAGUAAGCAUUUGACCAACGCCUAAGAGAAACUUUCCUGUGCUUGUGAACAUUGAAAUGUGUGUUCUGUAAUUUAAUGUAUUUGGUUGUGCAUUUUAUCUUCCAAUAUUAAAGUGUAUUCUGUAAUAUGUAACAUGAUUUAUUGUAUGGUACAGUAUGUUGUAUCUGUAACGUCUCACAGUGUGUGCACCAUAUCGUGAAACCAAUAACAGAAAAUAACAGUUAUUUAAGGAAUCAAUGUAAUUACAGUACAUGUUUUGUGAACUUUACUGCUUAAUAUGAAUCUUGGGGAAGGGAGGAGCAGUGUCGUGGUCAUAAUGACAUGGCUGGUCUGUUAAAACCUAAUAAUUCAUAUCACGCUCCAUGCCCACCAAACCUGUAAACCUUUUGAGUCUCCCAGUUGAAACAUUUGUUCUCUAAUCACUUCAGGAGACCCGAGUCCUCUGUUUUCUGUGUCGCAUUACCGGAAAGACUCAGGUAAUCCAAAAUACCACACGGGGUGUUCAUGAAAUUUGAAUUGGUGAGGGAACACCCUUGCUUUGCGUCAACUUAGAGAUGUCUAAUUACAAAUGAAGCAUUCAAGAUCCGUUGUGACUGAUGUUUAAAGCUUCAAUUGUGUUUACUGUUAACGUAAUUGUCAAUAUAAGUCAGGGUAGAGUCGGCAGUGAGAGUAAGGUAUCGUUGACGUCGGCCCUAGAGAUGCCAGUGAUUGUUGACCUAGGCUGACGUUACCUCUUUUACACACAUGAACAUCAGAGAACCUGAUGUUCAUGGUGAAAUUGUUGUCAGGAUGUUAAUUAUGAAAGUAAUUAAUUAACCUGAAAGGAACUGUCAGACCAGGCAUCUUUGAGAAUCUAACGGGUGUAACCCGAUACUGCUUUUCUUAGGCUCCGCCCACCAGGGACUACCAUCCUCAACCUUGAAAUCAAUUUAAUUCUUGUCUUCAACAGCUCAGUCAGAGUGUAGUUUGAGAAGCAAACCUUAGGAAAUGGAAAUGAGUUGGUAGUCUCAGUUUGACACAUCCAAGUGUACAGUAACGUACUAUUUUACCGUCAUUCUUUUCCAUUGGUUGAUACAGUACAGUACAGUAUACCCACGUGUCAUAACCCUCAGUUAUGGAGUAACUGUAUGAAGUAACAAAACUAAGCUAUAACUACUUUCUAUACUUUAUGAAAUAAGAAAAAGAAAGAAGGAAAAAGUUUGAAGAGUUUAAAAGUUAACCAUAAUGGGAUAAAUUAAUAAGAAAAUACAUCAAAUAACUCCCUCCUUUACACUUUGUUUAUUUUCCCCAGGUCUGACUGUGGCUGAGCCUUGUCUACAGGUCUGUGUUGGUUCCCGGUGCAUUAACUAAGGAAAUAAAUGAUCCAGGAAUUAGCUCAGGGGCUGGCAGUGUCUUCAUCUCAGAAAGUGACAGUGACAUGGAGAUUAAGGAUAAGACCCGACCAUUGAUGAUAAUGUUAACCUCUCCUGCAACAUUAAAGUACAGUACCAGGAUAUGCUGCUUACAACAUGAUGGACACCAUGCAUCAUGAGAUGUGAGCCAAGAUUGAGUGGUCAGAAUGUGCCAGACCUCACCUGGUAUGAAGGGUCAAGAUAAGUGCCGGAGGAGCAGACGCAGACUUGUGUUGACGGCUACUCUGGUUAUCUGGUCUGACCCGAGAUGACUUCCACCGUAAAUUCACCUGCACAGAAGCCGUCGGUAAACAGAGCAAGACCAUCACACUUGAUAUGAUAUGUGAGUACGGGACAGUAUUGUACUCUGAGUAGUGCCUAACCAAACCAGACCUAGAUGUGGUGUGGUGUGGCGUGGCAGAAGAAAGUAAACAUUAAUGACUUUGCGGGACAAUGUACAGCGGGGAGGGUUAAGAGGUUGUUUCUGGGGUUGAAAGAUGGUACGAUAUUGUUUAUGAAACUGCAUGUGUGUGUUGUGGCAACCUGUGGUGUAAAGGUCAGCCUCAGAGGAAGUGAUCCCCGGGCGGGUCAGAUCUAUAGGUAAGUUGUUUCCUUCAAGGACUCUGUCUGCCCAGCAGUAAAUGGAAACCUGGAUGUUAAUAGAUUUGUGGAUUGUGUUGUGGGGUAAUUGUGAGUUGUCCAGUCCUCUUGGAUUAUUCCCCGACACUGGGUUCACAGCUUGCUAACAUUGGCUGAGGUUGAUGAAAGUUUCUGUACCUUCAAAAAAAAAAAAAUCAUGCCCUGGUGACAGUAGGGCUGCGAGGGCCACCCAUUAUUAUUAUUGUGCAUUAAUGAAGAGUUUUCUUCAGGGCCUCCAGUGGAUGUUAAGAUCAGGGUUAAAGACCAGUUGAACAAUGGUUGUGGGGAAGUGAAAGAUGGUGUACCAGUAACCUUUGUGUGUAAUGCUGAUGGUUGACAACCUUCGUCUGUUAUCACCUGGGAUUUCUCUGAUCACUCAACAAGUAAGUUACUCUUUUACACAACUGUACUAUUAUACUGUACUACCCUUUAAUGUGGUCACUUUUAUUACAGGAUUAGCCCACCAGAGCACAGGUCAGUGACCCACACCAAUGUCUGGGGGCAAAAAUAUAAUAAUAAAAAUAAUAAUAAUAAUAAUUAAUAAAAUAGAUAAAUUAAAAAUUAUAAAAAUAUAAUAAUAAAGAACCAUAAAUUAAGAAAAAUCAAUACUAGUGAGACACGAUAUAUAUAUGGGAAUCAUUUAUUGUAAGAGGUGAGUGAAGAGAACUGAUGAUACUACAGGUUUUCUGUAUAAUAACUAUGCCUAACAUUUAUAACUGCUUGAGUUACUCUAUUUCUGCUACCUUGAUAAGCAUCACCUAAAGUUAUGGGUCUUUUGCAAAUUUCCUUUGGAGUUUGUGUUUUUAUUUUAUAAUUGCCUUUAUUUCACUGUUAAUGUACUGUAGGGUUUGGGCAGUUUUUAAUACCUUAGUCUUGAGGGGGAAGCAUUUAUCAAAGGAAACAUUGAAGAUGCCAGAGAAGUUGCAGCUGUUUACGUUAGGGUUGUAGUAUACUGCCAGAUUCUGGGGUCACUAAG
RNAcentral lists this long non-coding RNA (4807 nucleotides) under Homarus americanus (American lobster). Its description in RNAcentral is "uncharacterized LOC121867703, transcript variant X2". Lineage: Eukaryota; Metazoa; Arthropoda; Malacostraca; Decapoda; Nephropidae. The record is from RNAcentral.